This 253-nucleotide ribosomal RNA is filed under the name uncultured bacterium. Its description in RNAcentral is "partial 16S ribosomal RNA". It matches the Rfam family "Bacterial small subunit ribosomal RNA", at positions 524 to 776 of the family's 1533-position model. The record is from RNAcentral.
UACGUAGGGUGCGAGCGUUGUCCGGAAUUAUUGGGCGUAAAGAGCUUGUAGGCGGUCUGUCGCGUCUGCUGUGAAAAUCCGGGGCUCAACCCCGGACUUGCAGUGGGUACGGGCAGACUAGAGUGUGGUAGGGGAGACUGGAAUUCCUGGUGUAGCGGUGAAAUGCGUAGAUAUCGGGAGGAACACCAGUGGCGAAGGCGGCUACCUGGCCCACUCUUGACGCUGAGGCGCGAAAGCUAGGGGAGCAAACGGG